GUGAAUCAUCGAAUUUUUGAACGCACAUUGCGCUCUCUGCGAAUAGGAUGCCUGUUUGUGGGUCAGCCUAAAAAAACUCGAAAUAGUCGCUGUUUCUCAUUGACAUUCGUCGGAAAUGAGGUCAUCUUAAACCUUUGGGUUUUAAGCGGCUUAAAAUGUUCUUUACGAUGCCACUAACGUGUCUAAGAUUUGCGUCUUACACGUUUAAGGUAUGCGAUCUUUUUUAGACGUGGACGUUG
This 239-nucleotide unclassified non-coding RNA is filed under the name Glomus sp. Its description in RNAcentral is "partial internal transcribed spacer 2". Lineage: Eukaryota; Fungi; Glomeromycota; Glomeromycetes; Glomerales; Glomeraceae. The record is from RNAcentral.